CCUACGGGAGGCAGCAGUGAGGAAUAUUGGUCAAUGGACGAGAGUCUGAACCAGCCAAGUAGCGUGAAGGAUGGCUGCCCUAUGGGUUGUAAACUUCUGUUAUAUGGGAAUAAAAUGUUCCACGUGUGGGAUUUGGUAUGUAGCAUGUGAAUAAUGAUCGGCCAACUCCGUGCCAGCAGCGGCGGUAAUACGGAGGAGCCGAGCUUUAUCCGGAUUUAUUGGGUGUAAGGGGUGCGUAGGUGGUUUGUUAAGUCAGUUGUGAAAGUUUGCGGCUCAACCGUAAAAUUGCAGAUGAAACUGGCAGUCUAGAGUACAGUAGAGGUGGGCGGAAUUCGUGGUGUAGCAGUGAAAUGCUUAGAUAUCACGAAGAACUCCGAUUGCGAAGGCAGUUCACUGGACUGCAACUGACACUGAGGCACGAAAGUGUGGGUAUCAAACAGGAUUAGAUACCCCUGUAGUC
Molecule: ribosomal RNA, 460 nt
Filed under: uncultured bacterium
Lineage: Bacteria
Description: partial 16S ribosomal RNA
Rfam family: Bacterial small subunit ribosomal RNA
Source: RNAcentral